AACCGGUUCAGACCGGUUCAAACUGGGAGCUGCCCCCCCCAGGUCCUGGCGUCGCUGCUGCGGCCCCGGCGCGGCUACAAGAGCACCUUCAGGGCCUCGGAGCUGGAGCUGCAGCGCUCGGGGGCCCCCGGGACCCCCCCGGCCCCCCGGGAUCUGGUUUUCGGCAAGGUUUUCACCGACCACAUGCUGACGGUGGAGUGGGACAGGGAGGGGGGCUGGGGGCGCCCCCAGAUCCGCCCCUUCCAGGAGCUGCGGCUGCACCCCGCCUCCAGCGCCCUGCACUACGCCGUGGAGCUCUUCGAGGGGCUCAAGGCUUUUCGGGGCGACGACGACAAAAUUCGGCUUUUCCGGCCCGAGCUGAACGUGGAGAGGAUGCAGAGGUCGGCCCGCAGGGUCUGCCUGCCCGUGAGUG
Molecule: long non-coding RNA, 412 nt
Organism: Pyrgilauda ruficollis (rufous-necked snowfinch)
Lineage: Eukaryota; Metazoa; Chordata; Aves; Passeriformes; Passeridae
Exons: 3
Source: RefSeq, a predicted model, not a curated record